UUUUUUUUUUUUUUUUGGGCCCCUCAGCAUUAUUACAAUUUCGAAAGUUACAGAUCUAUGAGGUUAGGAGGAAUAAUAAGAGUCAUUGGUUUAGCAUUUUUUUGUUUUUUAACGACCUAUCUAGGCAAUACUUAACUGAACGUAAACCCACAUCCAACUCAAUGUGUAGUGUAAUAAAAUUUAAAAUAAAAUAUAUUCCAAUGUUAUAUAUAUAUAUAAUUAAAGAAAAAAGUUCACAUGUUAUGCUAUUAAAAGAACAAAAAAGCAUCUUUGAUAAAUAAUAUUUAAAAAAAUCAUACUUAGAGGGUCUAUAUAGUGGAUCAAGAAGAUCUAAUUUUUUAUAACUAUGAUUUUGAAAUUAAUGAAAAGCUCCAAGUCAGAAAAACAUACAUCAAAAUUAACAUGAAAAAUCUAAGCUUGUUAAUCAAAUCGACUGUAUCUCAUCCUACUCUUUUAAACUUUGUAUACGUGAGACUAUUCCCUUAAAUCUUUUUCAAUUUCUGUCUCUCAUACAAAUGAAUAUUUGCGUUAACUAUCUUUUAUUUAUAAGGUUAAGGUAAACUAUAGAUCUAUUUUUCUUCUUCACUCACUCGAGUACGAUCAACAUUUCACUAGUUCAUAUUCUUUAACCUUGGUUCAGAUAGCAUGUUGAAAUUAAUCGUGAGUUAACAUCAAAGUAGUUCAAGUUUUUCUCUUAAUAUUUUUAAGCUCUAGAUUUCUAACAUUCUUUUGUUUCUUUUUCAUGAACAAACGUACGAUAAAACCUUUCACGAACAACACCCAUUAUUACUCAGCUUGAUUAGGUUCCUCUCUCUCCCUUCUUUAGUACUCUUUCUUAACAAGAGUUGAAAAGCUCAGUUCUCGUCUCCUAUCAAUCUUAACCGAUCUAAGAUUCCUCCGCUUAGACACUGUUGGCAGGAAGAUGGAUUAUAUUGGCAUCUAACAACUGUGGACAUGGUGGUUUCUCCAUAUUUGUUCUACUUUGUGGCUCUAUAUUUCCAUGACCUGCAUUAUCUAAUCUUGACAGCAAUGUUUCUCUGGAUGUGUAGCAAAUACCAUGUGAGAUUGGAACGAGCAUCAACGGUUGCACAUCACUGUAUUUUAUUCACACAAGAAGAGAAGUAUGGGGAAGAGAGCGGAAUAACUCCAUGGAGGCCUCUCUUCAUAGCCCAACUGCGUAUAACUCCAUCUAUGGCUUCCCGCAACGUAACUCGUUGAGUGCAUGCAACAAACAAGUGAUAUGCAAUGCCGUCACAACACCCGCUCUCUUCCAUCAGCAAACUCUAUCGAUCCAUUCGAUGAUAUCAAGAAGAAAGAAGCAAGAGUCAAUAACAGCGAAGCAUAUGGAUCCUAAAUGACUCUGCUGAGCAGCCGUGAGCUCACUGCUCAUUGCAAAGUGCAGUGAAGCUGUGAGCUCACAGAUCCUUACGUAAAACGUAUACACAAAAGAGAAGAAACCUACUACUAUUUAACUGUGUACUUCUUCUGUCAGUGGUAGUCUCGCCAGCAAACGAGCAUCGUGACACAGCGGCGCAUGAUGUAUAACCUCGCCCUCUGCUCCUUCACUUGGUUGGCACACCGGCUGGAGAAGGACCGCGACGUCUUUAUCGUCGUCGUCCUCCGCCGGCCUUCCCUUGUGCUCGCCGACCGUUUCAAGAACGGCCCUCCUUCCUCCUCCGCAGCCGCCACCACUCUUCUGCCCCCGCUGCAGCUGUUCCUAAUCUCCUUAUUCGCCACCUUCCACUUCUCGUCCAUGUAGAUCUCGACUUCCUCUCCCACCACGUCUACUAUUUCCGAUGGGGCAACUAAGGGUAUAUAUAAAGGGAAGGAGGAAAUUGGUGUGGAUUCGUGGUGGGCAAUGGGCAUCACCACCUGGGGUAUCACAUUUUUAUUCACCAAAGAAAAAUCUAAAUAUAUCACCUCAAUACUCUAAUACAAACUGUGCUUUUGACAUCAGCACAGAGAAAAAACAAAGAUUUCACUCACUCGCCUCCUAAAAUUCAGAAAAUCUAAUUGACCUUUAGUGCAUACAAAAAUGUGAUAACUUGGAUUCAGAGAAAAGGAAUAAACUAUCAUGUUUAAGAUCUUGCAGCAUCCACUUCUAACUAGGACCUUAAUUUGGAAGCACAAUGCUAGUAGCCUAUGAACUGUCCGGCUACAGCUUUCAAGAUGCGUACAUUUUGUUAAUAAUAUAUAUUCUAUGUAAAUAGAGCUUUUAUAUAUAUAUAUAUGAAUCAUCAUGCACAGAGGUUUACUGCGAUGUGUUCAAGGAUAAAGAUUCCUCCCAAGGUUGACCGGUCAAUGUUGGGAACCUUCUCACGCAAAUGCAUGAACAUAAACAGGAGAGAUGAGAUUCCAAAGUUAAUGCAGCCAUGUGAGAUUUAGGCUGGUCUGAAUCAUGCACUCUGUCAGUGCCUGUAUGGAAUCUUUGAUUGCUUCCAUAUGCUUAGAAGUUACGAGUUCCCUGAACCAUUAUUGAGGCACAAGGUUUGAACCUCAGAAUCUAGCUAUCAUGCAUGUACUUUGGGAAGGUAAUAUAACGGCAAACUAGGUUAUAGAUCAUACAAAACUUAACAAAUGUGAUUGUACCUGAUAAAGGGUGGCCUUCUCUACCUUAAUUUUUUGGUAUAUUUGCGUAUUAAAUUUGAAUUCUUAUGGACAUAUUUCUCUAUGGAAGAAAGCUCUUUUCCGACUUUAAGCAUAUAAAGAAAUAUUUGGUUUCUACAUUGUUGAACCAAAUUUCAUCACUUAAAUAGUCACAUUUUUCAAACUUGGAAUAUCUUAGAAUGCUAUUGUUUGUUUUUUUUGGUCUUUUUCAUUUAGAACUCCUUUGAGAUUCACUAAAGCUACAAUAGCUAAGUAUCUUUUAAAAAAUUGAAAUGAUAAUAAGAAUUAUUUUUCCAUCUCGCCCUUUCAUUGUCAGCUUGUCAUAAGGUUUGAACCCCUCUAAAAGUGUUAUCAUGAAGCAUUUGUUGGCUCCUCUGUGAGUUGCAAGAAGCAUGAAGCAUGUUAAAUGCAUGCCCUAAUACAACUAGGCAUAGUCAGGACAUGAACUCUUUGAGCCACAACAUGUAUAAGCGAAGGGCUUCAUAUUUUAUGACUGCUUUGCAUGUGGCGGCCACGAUGCACAACCUCAAAGCCAGUCAAAUCUAAUCAAUUAUAUCAAUUACUUUGGUCCUUAGAUCAAGUUGUAGUUCUUAAACAAUGCAAACACAUCGCCCUCGGGGAAGUUGCUUGCUCUUCAAACAAAAAUCAUUUUCUAUCUUCCAUUUUUCUUACUCUAGAUUUUGACCUGCCAGAACCAUUGCAACACUUGUCUUGGGCCGAUAGGGUUGAUGGCCAUGUGGGCUUGGCUUAUGCAAUGGGCUUACAGACUCCAGGUUGACACAAAGAGCCUCUUUUUUACCUUACAAACCUGAACAAGUCUUAUACAGGCAAAAAACCAAAUAAGUAAUAUGCAACUAAAAGCUUUUUGUUGUAUAGGUAAUCAUAAUGGACAUGCAAUUUUCAGAACUUUGGGGUAUAAUUGGGGGGAUAGACUUACGACAAUUAGGCUCGUUUUAAUAAAGCAGUAAUUUUUUUUAGAUUACCCAUCGGAAAUGUGAGACUAGCAAACAUGAUUUGGUUAAAAUUGGGUUGAUUCAAAUAGUAAAUGAUCAUCAAACGAAGUGCGGGUCUUUACCUUUCGUGAAUUCUAAGGGGAAUUAGAAACGAGAGCAGCAGAUCGAAUAAAAGAAUAUGCACACAACGAAUUCUCAACUGAAGGCGACGAAACGACAAACCCUAAAAUCCAAAAGGAGGAGAAGGAACUGACCUCGAUUCGCUAGGGCUUCCUCCACGAAGGAGCGGAUCGAGUGGAGGGAGUGGCGCGGCCGGCCUUCUCCGGCUGGAUCUGGAUUUCACGGUGCAGCUCCGCCAUCCGGCCGUCCAUGGCUUCCUACGGUCCUCGCGCAGCAUUGCUUCGCCAACGAAAGACCACUUUGGAGAGUGUUUGCCGCUUUAAAUUCGAGCCACGCCUCCCGGGAAACCCAAACAUUUAAUGGAGCAGGUCGCAAACGGAUCUUAUUAGUGUGAUCCGCAUCCGAGUUCCCCAUUCCCAUUGGAGUGCUCUACUAUUGCAAUUCUUAGAUAUUAAAUGUGAUGUGGGAUUAUUAGUCAUUGAUAUUUUUAUAAUAUAAUAAUAAUAAAGAAAAUAAUAAUAAUAAUAAUAUGAUAAUAAAAACUUUAAUAUCUAAAAUAAAAAAUGACAUUUAAAAUAACACUUUAAUUUCAUUUAAAUAUAUCAUUUAAAUGAAAUUAAACUUACUAUUAUAGAAUCAAUAAGAAAUAUAUCAUUUAAAAUAAAAAAAACUUAAUUCAUUGAUUCUUUUUUAUUAUCUUAUUACAAUCCUUUGAUCUUUUUUAUAUAUUUUAAAUACAGAAGAAAAAAUAAUAAAAAUACUAUCAUAUCAGAGCUAAGCAAAUAAAUUAUUUUAACCUUCAUCUUGUUAAGUAAUUUUUUUAUAUAUUUAUUUUUACCAUAAUCAAUUUAAAAAAUAAAAUGAGGAAUAAUCCUGAUGUUGGCAUAUGACAACUUACAAAUUUUGUAGAAUUUUCUAAAAUAAUAAGAAACAUAUGAAACUGUCGGAUAUAUCUCAACUUCACUCAUCUUUCAUUACUACAUGACAUAUCUGUAGAAACCUAAACAUCCAUGUGUUCUACCAGAUAUUAAACAUAUAUAUGAAACCAUGGACCAUGAAAGAUAUCAUUUGGAAGCUUCUAAGGAAAUAUUUAGUCCCUUGUACCUCAACACUAAUCUUGCAAACAGUCUCAGCAUAUCAGAUUUACAUCUAGCACAGCACAAUGAUGUAAGAAUGGAAAGGAAUUUCUUGUUUCCAUACACAAUCAUAAACAUCUCAUAGGUUACUUUCCGUAGAUUAUGAUAAUUAGAAGUUGAAACCAACAGGAAAGCCUCUGAAAUAGUUACAUGCACAAUGUUGAAUCAUACAAAGAAUAGAUUUGUCCAGUGUCACGUGAUUUACAAAACAAGAACAUCAGAGAUUAAAACGUUUUACGAUCUGCAUCGCUUUCAAUGAUUAGCUUAGGUCUGUUGAACCAGGUAUACUCGACCAUAAACCCAGCGCUUACCAGGUACCGUGAAGGAUUGCUGCAUUAUAAAAAAACCAAAAUUACAAAGAAUCAACAAUUGAAAAUGAUAAUUUUAAUCGUCAUGGAUCGCAACUAAUGAAAGUCUAGAAAAUGGAUUUGGAUGGUAUCUAAUGCUCUUCCGACAUCGCAGUAUCUGUUGAUGAUCAGAUUAUCGCAUGACCAUCAUUCUUAAAAAAGAAAUGUAUCAUCGAGGAAACAUAAAACAAACUGUGUUGUAAAUAUAUAUUAUUGAUCUCCAAGCAAAAUGUUCAGUUCCAAUAACUCCCUAAUUACACAUGCCAGAGCGUAAACUUUCAAAAAACAUUACCAUUACAAAACUUAGUAGUAAAUCUUCAGCUAAUCAGAAGCUUGAUAUUCUGUAUCAAAAUCUAAAAUUAGAUGACCAGAUAAUCUUAUAUGAAAUGUUGCAAUAACAUGAAUUUGAGAAUCAGAUUCAGAUGUGUAUUUGGAUGUCUGGUUCAGCAAGGAGGGACAAAAGACAUGGAGACAUACGAAUAAAGUUUAUGAUAUACAAUAACCAGUGAUUUAAAAAGCGCUAGGCGUCAAGGUCCACAAACGCCCGAGGCGCUAGGCGCUCGCCCAGGCGCUCGCCCGAGCGAAGCGAGGCGCUAAAUUAUAAAAAUAUAUAAUAUAAUUAUUUAAAAUUAUCUAAAUUAUAAAAAUAUAUAAUAUAAUUAUAACAAUAAUUUCAAAUAAAUAAAAAUUAACAACAUUAAAAUCAAAAUAAUAUAUUAUUAAUCUAUUAACAGAAAAUUAAUCAUUUAAAAAUUCAAAUAAACUUAAUAUUAAGAGUAUACUGAGCCUGAUGGAGAAACGAGGAAGCAGCGGCGAGCGGCGGCGAGCAGCGGCAGCAGCAGCAGCAGCAGCGACGGCGAGUGGCGGCAGCGGCAGCGGGAAAGGGAGCGGAAGGCGCGAGCAGCGGGAGGCCUCGAGGGAGGCGCGAGCAGCGGGAAGGCUCGCGGGAGGCGCGAGCAGCGGGAAGGNNNNNNNNNNNNNNNNNNNNNNNNNNNNNNNNNNNNNNNNNNNNNNNNNNNNNNNNNNNNNNNNNNNNNNNNNNNNNNNNNNNNNNNNNNNNNNNNNNNNNNNNNNNNNNNNNNNNNNNNNNNNNNNNNNNNNNNNNNNNNNNNNNNNNNNNNNNNNNNNNNNNNNNNNNNNNNNNNNNNNNNNNNNNNNNNNNNNNNNNNNNNNNNNNNNNNNNNNNNNNNNNNNNNNNNNNNNNNNNNNNNNNNNNNNNNNNNNNNNNNNNNNNNNNNNNNNNNNNNNNNNNNNNNNNNNNNNNNNNCGCCCGAGCGCCUUUUGCAAUCACUGACAAUAACUAUAUUUUAAUUUUAUAUGAUUGUGAAAUCUCAAGAAAAAAAAAUGCCUUCAAAACAAGGGAGAUUAAUUUCCGAUUUCAUUAUGGUAUAUCAUACUGAUCAUUAUGAUUGUUUAACUCUCAAGUUGACAUUCAGUUUCUACAUUCAAAAACAUGGACAGGAAUAAGUAAACCCACAAAAGGAUAUGCAUCUCACACAUUUCGGGAGGGUUAAUGCAUGAUUACAUAACACCUCACAUGAUGAUUCAUAUGAUGGCAACAAGAAAUUAAUACAGUAACAAUGAGAAUAGAGAGUGCCAACAAGUGCAUUUUCAGUUUAGAAGCACCCAUUCAUAUGAUACAAAGGGAAACUACAUACCUCCACCUUUGUUUGAAACUCCAAGGAGCACUCGCAUACAUGACAAGCUGCACGGUGAGGAUGUCCGGUCGAGUUUUCUGCCCUAACAAAAGUAAAGACCUGCAGAGCAAUAAGAUGGAUUAUAGCAUUACAUAGUUUUUCAAGCUAGCAGAGAUUAUGUAUUCAUAGACUAAGCAAAUGAUUUAAUAGACCCCGACCUCCUCCCCACAGUUGGGGCAUGAGCCUUUCAUUGCAACCAGUUCAUUCCUCCAAAGACCUUGCAAUGCUUGGACUAAAAUAAAGAACCAGAUUUAACUAGUAGCCUCCCAAACAUUAAACAAAGAAAGCUGGGAAUUUAAUAAACUUAAAUCAUCUAGAAAGUACAAAGACAAUGAUGACUGACCUACUAAUAUGCAUGACACAUAAGAAAGCAUUCGAGCAAUGAACACUCUAAUGCUGAUGGAUUUUGAUUCAUCAUUACAUGCUUUCCAAACAAGCUAAUAAAGCCACAAAGAACAAUUUGGUUUUUGACAAACACUGGCUAGUGUGUUCAUUCUGUCGAGAUACAGUAGGUUAACAAAUGAAUCCUAAAUUUACAUAACCUCGUCCAUCCGAUUUCAAUUUCAUUUUUCUCACUUAAUCAACAAAUACUAGACAAUUUCUUUAACACCUAUAAAUAUAAGCAUUAUAUAAUUAUAAACACAAUAUUAUAGAUAAGAGAAAUGUUAUUGGAGGACAGGUUACAUAAUCAAAAGUUUAUAACACAAUCAAACAAAAAGGUUUUAACAGGUAUGCUACACAACUUUGCACUCUGCAUUACGAUCUAUGCUUGAACUUUGACCGUGAAACAUGCAUCAACUUAAUACUACCUAAUAUAUGUAACUUUGGAUUUUUUUUUUUUUCAGGUUGAGGUGCACCAUGUUGUCUGCAAUAUGCUGUUUUACGUAUUGCAUUUUUCACCAUAAGUAGGAUUGUCUCCCAUCCCUAUCAGCACCCAUCUCCACCCUCUAGCAUGUACAACAAUGUUCGUAUUUGGAAAUUUCUGUAAAAUUAACUUAUGAUGAUUGCAGAAACUUUUUUGCAACAUCGCAUAAUUUUAAUCUAUACAUCGCAUAAUUUUAAACUUUUUUGCAACUUACUUGAAGCAAAUGCAAGAGGAUAACCAACCAGAUGUCCCAGUCCCAAUAUUAGAGUUUUGUUAACCAUCAUAAGCGAUCCAAAUGUCGAUAUUUCACUGUAUAAGUAAUAUCUUGAGUUAAUCGCAUCAGCAAAAGCCAGAGUGAUGAUACAAAUGACAGGCACGAGAAUUGCUGAUGAUCCAAAUGCGAGUAGCACCAACCAAACACUUGCUAAAGCAAAAGCUUGUGAAGGAUCUUCCUGCCCUAAACACAAGUCAAAUCAAAACCUCAACCAAGUAAAAGGAAGUUUCCAUGAACCAGAAAAUAGAGAGGGAAAAGGACACAGGCUAACAAGAAUUUACCUCAGCAUCUGCAUAGGUUGAUUGUCGCCUGAGGCUACAUCGAGGAUACUUAACAACAGAUUUUGAACCAUACAGCCGCAACUUCAACUGUUAUAGAAAAUACAAACGUUAAGCAAAAGAUAGUGAAAAUGGACAUGAAGGAAAGACAGCCACUUGAUUAUACCUCAAUUUUAUCAAACAUCGCAUCAACAAUCAAAGGUUUACCAUUGUAAUAUGAAUCUCGUGCCUACAACAUAAAAGCAAGAUGAACAAGUAGAUGAAUUUACACAUCCAAACUUCCUAAUUCUGAGGAGAACUUCCAAAGAUCAUAAAUAAUGGACAUAACCAUAAAUAACGCUUUGCCCAAUGUUUCAUUUCUUUCGAUCAAAAUAAAAACAGAGCUCCAGAUUAUGACUUAAAGUGACUGCAACAAGAAAAAGUAGUUCAAUUCAUCUCAUAGGCAAAUUAAUUGAAUUUCAUGCUUCCUGGUACAAAAGAAAAGCCAAAGAAAAUCAUAAAACUAAAGUUCAUCUACUUGCAGAAACCUAUCAAUUAAUGAACUCCAACUAAAAAUGGAUGACAAAAAUAAUUAGCAAAAGAAUGAUGAUAUGACCAAACUUACUUAAAUGUAUUAUGAGGCAGAAAAUUAUCGAACCAUUUUGGAGGAUGAAGGUAAUUAGAAGCUUUAUGUGGUUUAUUCCAAAAACAAUGAAGCUCAUGUUGCAAAUUACUGAUCUCCCUGAUCUGUAGAGCUGAAUCUGAAUCCUAUAUAGACUUCAAGAUUUAUAGUACUGCAUGUUAGUAAAUUUUGCAAACACAUUUAAAGAAAAGGGAGUUCCAAAUAUGCACAUCAGUUCUUGUUCUUCUUUAUUUAACAUCUAGCACGUUUGAAGAUUGCAGAAUCUCUUCAUUGUUAUCCUCGAAUAGUCCAGUGUGUUAUUUGCCUCUUGCAGGAUGGACAUCACAACAAGAAUGCUUUUACCUGCUGAUAGAGGGCCUCCAGCAUCUCCUUACUGGCGGUCUCGAUAGGGCCGACGUAGAGGCAGGAGGGGGCAUCCGCCGCGACCGCGAGUACCGGGGAGAACGACCUUCGGCCGCCGCCGCGCGGCCGCGGCCGGAGCCGGUCGUGCGCGGAAAGGGGGCGGGCGCGGAGGACGUGGAAGGCGGGGACGGCUGCCGCUGCGGAGGAGGAGGACGAGGAGGAGGACAGGGGCAUGAGGCCCGCUGGCGCCUCCGCGCGUGGAGGCAGCGGGCAGCGCGGUGUAAUCGCGGCCGCAGACGCUGCGUUGUGGCCACCAUUUAAGAAGCCACGUCUCUCGACGCACCACCACAAGACGAUCGCAAGCGUGAGUGGAUGUGUGUCUCUCAUUGGAUAUUUCUCUUUCAGCUUUGCGCGGCCAAUCAUCGAAUAUAUAAAUAUACAUAUAAUAAUAUCUGUUAGUUUUGUCCAAAAUAAUAUGUCCAAUUAAUCUGUGAAAAUGAUCUUAUUUUGGUCUCCCAUAAAAUAUAUAAAAGAUGAAAUUAAAAAAUUACCCCACACAAAGAAAUUAUAAUAACCUUUUUUUUUUUUACUUUACUCAAGACAUUAGGAAAACAUACAAAGUGGAUUAUCCGCUUUGCAUCGAAAUUAUUAACUCAUCCAUAAUUUCUUAUCUCAAACGAAACAAAAAUAAUAUUUUGUUUAAAGAUUCAUUUAAUAAAAUCUCACUAAUAUUUUAAAUUUUGAUUCUAUAUUAAAUUAGAUUACAGUUAAUUAUGUCAAAUCUUAUGAACACGAAUCGAGUCAAAUUCAAUGCAUGUAUCAUUAAAGCUAUUGGAAUUUAUACACCGAAAACAUGAGCGAUAUCAAGAGCAUCUAUGAAGAACAGAUGAUACUGAAAGAGAACUUGCAAGAUACAAGAUUACGCCUUUGUGUUCUUUCUAUCCCCUAAGUAGGAAGCGAGGAAGCCGAUGGCCUUGGAUGAGCAAUCUUUCUAUUCCCUACAUCUUCCCAGCUUCUCCAACGAGGCAUGGCGGGCCGUUGGCCACUUGAGUUCUGUUCGGUCUUGGGGUUUCUCUCGGCAUCCUUGCCAUGCUGAAGCUGCUCCAAUGCCACUACCACUUGAUCCAUGGUUGGCCUGUGCUUUGUUUCCAAGGACAGGCACCUGUCUGCGAGACCGGCUAUUUUCUGGGCUCCUGCCAGUGAGUACUGUGCUCUCAAUCUGGAAUCCAGGAUGCUGAUGAUCUUCCUCUUGCUCGCAAGAUGAGGCUUCGCCCACUCCACCAAUUUGUACUCUCCGGUGGGGCGGUUCUUGUCGAUGGCACGUCGGCCAGUCAAUAUCUCGAGAAGAACAACUCCAAAGCUAUAGACAUCACUCUUGGCAGUCAAAUGUCCUUUGAAAGUUUAUGAUGCAAAUCAACAAGUCAGCACAUGUCUCAAGCAUCACUUUCAUUAAGAAUGUAUGCUCACCAAACCUACCUUCUCCAUGUAAUGUGUAGAAGAUUACAAUCUAUAAAGAUGAGAGAGAAAUAGUUUACCCAAAGUUACACGUAAUGACUACUCGGAGGCACCCUUAAAUAAUAUCUUUAUUUCCUCAUUGACUUGACUAAUAUUUAGCUUAAAUAACUCCAAGGCUCUAAUCUCAUGUAAAUCACCGAUAUAGUAGUAAUCGGAAUGGCAAAUAAAGGAUGAAACAAGAUGCCUAAUCACUAUAUAAGCUACAAGGCCGGCCAUCUCCAACAUUACUUGUUGAUAUUUCACACAAACCAAGUAGUAAGCAAAGUAUUGUUUGAGAUGAUAUGUGCUAUUGCUUUUGUGGCAAUAGUUUUAACCAUCACCUUAUGUGCAGAUUGCAUAAUUGAUCCUAUUUAAAAGUGAAGCAUUCUAAAUAGAUAUACUAAAAGCCAUGAGAGGCCGAGUUGGAUCAAGAUAAACUAAUGGUAAGUAAAAUGAUAAACGAUAUAAUUAGUUUAAUAGACACCUGACCAACUCAUGUGUUCAUGAGGAAAUUGCAAAUUUUAUGUGACUUAAAUGACUAAACAGAUGAGGGGUUUUUGUGAAUUACAAAUCAGAUGACAAGCAAAAGUAUUCCAGGCUGUGAAGAAGACACAUUCAGCAUUUGCAAUAAUAAAGAUGCAACAAAAUUACCUGUUGCAAGAUACUCAGGAGCAGCAUAUCCAUAUGUCCCCAUGACCCUUGUAGAAACAUGGCUUUUAUCACCGGUAGGACCAUCUUUCGCCAAUCCAAAAUCAGAAAGCUUUGCAUUAUAAUUCUGUACAUAAAUCGGAAACAUCAAUUCUGAAAGUUGAAUGAACGUCCAUUUCAAUGUUGAAAACCUAGAUGACUACAUACUGAAUCAAGAAGCACAUUGGAGGUUUUGAAAUCACGAUAAAUGACUUUCGCCUUGCUGCUAUGCAGAAAAGCAAGUCCUUUUGCAGCUCCCAGAGCAACCUUCAUGCGGAGGUUCCAGGAGAGUGGCUGAUAGUAUGAACUCCCUGCAUCACCAUAAGAGCAUACAAACUGAGAUUCAUACAGAUUGAAGUAGAGUAACAGCAAACAGUAGCAAUCUCUUAGAAAACAAUUCCUUCAAGUAAAACGUGAAGAACACAUCCGGUAUAAUAUCAGAUACAGUCCAUGAAGAACAUACUCCUGAAGAGAUGAUUCUCCAAGCUUCCCCGAGACAUGAAUUCAUACACAAGAAGUCUUUGUUCAUCCUCCAAGCAGUACCCAAUAAGCUUUACAAGGUUAGGAUGAGACAGCUGACUCAAGUAAUUAACCUCCGCCUACAAGAUUUAAAGAAGAUGCUAUUGAGACUACAUGUAUCUGGUAAGCUACAGAAUAGAAUUUGAAAUCUAAGUUACCAGCUCGAUAUACAUAUCAUUCAUACAUGAGGUGGAUCUCAACACUAAGAAAUCAGAGAACAAAAGAGAGCAAAGAUUUUGCAGGAAUCAAUACUCACCAACCAUUCUUUGUGACCCUGGAAACCUUCCUGGUUGAGUUUCUUCACAGCGAUAACCAUUCCAGUCCCAGGCUUAGCUGCUGCCAACGUGUGCUCAUUGAUCCAUCCCUUGAAGACUGAACCAAAGCCUCCCUCUCCCAACACACUGUCUGGCCGGAAAUUCCUGGUGGCAGUUCUGAGUUCAUUGAAGGUGAAGCUCUUCAGAUUGGAUGACGUCAAGAUCUCACCCUCACUCCGUGGAGUCGGCGGCACGGAGGACGCAGACACCCUGCUGCUGGAACUGCUUAAAACGUUUCCCUUCCUGCUCCCAUGUGGAGAGUCCUCUCCUAGGCAUUCAAAUACAGUGUCUACUAGUAAAUCAGACUCAAAAGAAAAAGCCACAGACAAUGCUUUCAUCGUAAACUCUUGCAUUAGCCAAUCAAUUGAAUCAAGUAAUACAACUUAGCACAAUUCAUCACCUUACUUAACAUUGUGGAACAAAAAAUACGAGCGGCAUACUUUACCAGAUAAAUUAGCAAAAUUGAGCCUAUGUUUGAAAGGAAUAACUGCUAAUAGGCAAUUUCCACAAAAGAAGACUUACACGGGAAUAAUUCCAAGAGAAACACAAAAUUCACUCUUCCAACACUAUAUAUAUGUGUGUAUAUAUAAGGCAGUAAAACAACUCUUAUUGAGUUGAUCGAUAUGCCGAUCCAUCAAAUCGAUACCUCUUCCUACCCCUCCAAUGACAAACUGAAAUGUUGUUUGCCCUAAAUUAUUUCCAAAAUUAGAAAUUUAAUGAUCUCUAAGAACAGAUUCAGAACAACUUACUCCCUUCAGGGAUGACAAGGUGGGAUCUCUGAUGUGGUAAUAGGAAAUUGUGAUAUGUCACUGCCGUGUUAACAUGACAUCAGAUAAAUGCCCCAUAUUACUGGUCCACAUUAAUUAAUGGAUGACAUACCUGCAUCUGCAUGUCUCCUUGGUGCCAGGAUCAUUCAUCGUGCCACUACUCAUCACCUGCGCGGUAGCACAUCUGACACCUCUUCUUAGAAGGUUUAACACUAGGCAUUAAUGGACGACGGAAAGGGGUCAGGUAGGCUCCUCCGUCCGCCUCCGAACGACGACCAAAAGUGAUUCAUCGACAAGAGAACGGUGGAUUCCCUAAUCUACCAUACUAUCAUUAGUAAUCCCUCAGAGAAGACAGUUAAAUAUUGCAACUUUUUUCACUUAAUCCACUAAAAAACCAUUCAAUUUCUAUGGAAAACGUCCCAAGGUUAUAAGCUAUGAUCGAACUCAGAAGCUGCAUAAAACAAGAUGGAACCUUUAGUACCUGAAGCGAAGACGUCGUGGGAGGGGUUCUCCGCCUUGACCUUAGCGCCCCAGCAAUUACCCAUCGGAGAACAACCCAAGCGUGACGACAGCCACGGCCUUCAAUCUACUGGCAACCCCCGAAAGAUAGGGUUCUCCGCGGCCAAAUCUGUGAGGCAAGAACCACCGGAUCCGGCAAGGAAGCAGCCUUUUGGCGCAGUAAUGCAGCAGGAAGCCGAGGUUAACAGCGAUUCGGCUUGCUCACCAAGAGCGGAUCUCCAGUUGCGGAGCUCCAAAUGAAAGCUGGGAUUCAGCGGCGAAGAGGAGCGAGCUUGAAUCGAGUGACGAGUGGAGAGGGCGCAUAAAAAGAAGAGAGAAAGAGGAAGAGAGAGAGUGAUAGGUGCUUCUUUUUGCGCUUUUGGUGUUCUGUGUUGCUUUUUAUUAAGUCCGUCACGAAGGUUGACUUCAGAGUCAUGGAUUGGAGAGUCGUAAUUAAUAGCGACACAAACUAUAUAUAUAUAUAUAUAUAUAUAUAUAUAUACUCUUUCAUUAAUAUUGUUUAUAACAGAUUAUUUGAUCGCAAGAAAUGAUAAACUUUGAACUAAAUAUAGGACUUGGAGUCCUUCGUUCUCAUAUUUCUCAAUCAAUAUGGAACUAAAUAAUUUUAUUAGUGUUUUAUUCCGAAGGGGAGCCAAGGACGAGUUUGCUUGGUCGAAGUGUAAGCAUCGGGUCCUCCUUCGAUCGGUCAAUCAUUAGUAUGAUCCAUAGGCUCACGAGGAAUUAUCCAUUUUGUGCAAUGGGCAUACCCGUAUAAUUUAUCAUUUACGAAGCAUUAAUGCGGUCAUUAGUGUGGCUCAUAGGCUUACGAGAAAUUAUCCGCUUUAGACAAUGAAUGUAUUCGUACGAUUUUAUCCUUUUUCAUAUAAGCUCCGUAAAGCACUUAGUUCCAUAAGGGAGAUUUCAUGAACUUAUAAGUUCUUAGUUCCAUACUCCUCGAUUAAUAUUUGAACUAAAUGAUAUAUAUAUAAUCACUGUCCACGACUUUUCCACGUGGAUUGAUCUUUCGUCUUUGAUGUCAAUUCCAGCCUCUGUGCCAGUCUAGAAAGCAAUAAUACUUCACGUAAAUAAUGGCAGGAGCAGCUUUACAAGUACGGUUACAAUGGAUCUGCAAUCUUAUUUGAAAGCUCUGGAGGUGGGUUUACUCUCUGCGACAUGACACCGAGAUAAUAUAAAGCUUGAUAGGAAUUGAUAUAUAGAGGAGAGAGGCUUAAGGUUUGGCAACUCUGUCGUAUCACUGUCUCCAUUAAUUGGAGUUUGCUCGAGGGAAGAAUGAGGGAGGUCAAAAAGAGGGCUCUGCAACUUGCGGCAGCGGCACGAGAUUGCACGUAAGUGUCGACCAAAAGCUGUGGUCUCAAACGAACAUGAACACCUCACGAGAAUGACAUGAAGGAUUAGGCCAUGGUUGAAGUGUCUGCAAAUCAUAAUCUCAAAGAUAUCGAGAUGACAAAAUCCGAUUACGUUCAGAUGCAAUGUCCUCAAUAAAUCCGAUGAAAGUGCCCUAUAUAUACGUAAGAGUCGUGAAGGAAAGCUGCGUUUGGAUAGAAGUGGGGGCAGACAAUAAUAAAGAGGGGGGGUCGACUUCGUAAGAGGUUGAGCUGUGUCCCCAUGUGAGGGAGCUGAAGCUUUUCUUCCUCCCUACUGCAGAGAGGCGGAGGAGGGAGGAGGCAGCCCCCACUUUGACUUGCUCGAUUUCUAGAUGACGGACAAAGAGCAUGCACCAUUAUUACAAGGAUGCAAGAGAUGAAGGAUAACAGGAGGAAGCAGGCUGGGGAAGAUGAUGUGCUUCUCAAGGGGUACGAAGUGGGGUGAUGACGUCUCUAACAUGUCUUUGGAUUCGUCAUACUGUGAAAGUAAUGAAACUAAACUUUCCAAGCCUAAACUACACAUUUCCCUACAAUUCCCGCAUGCAAGAAACUAAACUUUCAAGUCUAAUCCCUAAAGGCAACGAAUGGAAGAAAGAAAAAAAGAAAAAAAGAGGGGAGAGUAUAUUAUAAUACAUUAAUUGUGAAUUAAAAUGCAAUUAACUAAACGAGGAAACUAUUUGCCAUUACUGCAUGUAAACAGAUAUAAUAAGACAGUAAUUCUCAUGGCAAGUUAUUUUAAUGAUCCACUAGCACACGUGAAAGAUAGAUGUCAUGAAAGCAUCUUAUUGCUGUCGGCAUUGCCAGCUAAAAUGUGGUAAAGAGCAGGUCUCCCAAGUGGUGGAGAAGCUGAACUUACAAUUAGUUGGAAAUGAUAAUUAUCACAAAGCAAAUAAACAAGUUGUGCCGAUUUUUGAGAGUUGCAGAAUCUGAAAUAUGGCUUAUUCAUCCUUGAGGUGCUUCCCUCACUCGGUUCUUAGCAAAGAAACUACAAGAAAAACCCACGGAUUCUCAACACAAAAUUCAGAGGUCAAUACAUGAGCCUCGACUUGAGAGUUAGGAGUGUGUCCUCAGGCAGACGACUUGACUGUAGCAGCAUUGAUGAUGUCCACGAAUUCCGGCUGUAAUAAACAAAUAUAGAAAGGAAAGAAGAUGAGAUCUAUAGCCAACGUAACCAACAAAUUUAGAGUCAACUUGCUAAUUGAAGAAAAUUCCAAAGCACAUUCUCUUCAGUACUCAUGUCAUGUAGCCACCGUCUGCGACAUGCCAGAGAUAAAACAUGCAUCUAGCAAAGGCAAUGGGACAGCAAGCAUCUUCAUAACGUGUGAGGAUCAUGAAGUUGCCAACUAGUAGAUGACUGUUAUUCAUAUUGUGGUUGUCAACCCAACCCCCAAAAAACAAGUCAAUCUUAGUGCAAGUUGAAAUCCAAGCAAUUUUUCCCUCUGAAAAGGGUACCAGACAUGUUUUUGUGGUCAUUCUUCAUGCCAGAAAAGUAAAUUAUCACUCUUGUGGGUUUCAGAUAGUGACUAAUGACAGCCAAGAAUAUGUAAUAUAUUUAAGGACAUGCAAAUCUAGACAGACAUGUAGGAAAUAUAGACACAUACCUUCAAAGAAGCACCUCCUACAAGAAAUCCAUCGACAUCAGGCUGUGCUGCAAGCUCUUUGCAGUUAGCCCCACUUACAGAACCUGCAGGAAUUUCAUUUCUCAUGUUAGCAAAAAUUUCACAAGUAAUAUAUAAGAUGUUACUCCAUACGAGUCUCAUCAAAAAAAGGAAACACAAAUAAAAGAAACACGUAAAGAAUUACUCCCAGUUCACCAUGCUCAGUGCAACUCAAAGUGAUACAAGUACAGUCGUCUGGAACUUAUGGAGACAAGAGGAGAAAGGAAAAUCAAGUUGACAAUGAACAUUUACCUCCAUAUAUGAUCCUGGUUGACGCUGCAACUUCAGCACUCACGUUUGUUUGAAGCCACUUCCUUAAUUCCAAGUGGACCUGAGAAUCAUUGGAACAUGUGGCAGAAAUGGAUCAUAAUGAACUCUGAAAGAAAUGUCUUGGGAAAAAUCAGUAUCACAAGACAUCCUUGUGAAGCUAACAUAGCUCAGCAUGGAAAACAUGUCCACUGGUGUGAGCCUUAUGUUACCAUAGUGCUGUUUUGGCACACCCCUGAACUUGGUGCCCACGGUCUGUACUAACAGGUAUGGGUGGGCAUGACCAACAUAUGAAGUCCUUGGUGUUACCGAGAAAAAGUUUUUUCUAAGCUGCACCAUGCAUGAGCAUUAAAGAUGCCUGAUGUUACAUAUCUAGGAAAAAGAAUAAUUUAACCCUAUGAAAUUCAAUUAUACGUGGUGAUCAUAUGUUGCUAAAUAUAAAAAUGAACAGCAUAUUUUAUUUUACAGGAACUUAGUGACCAAUUAUAUUCGAGAAAUGGUGGCCGGAAACUUUAAGCACGUUUAGAUUGUUAGGUUAGAGACUUAUAGGAAGAUCAAAAACUUGCAAAUAAAUAGGCUAGGUUCAAAACAGAAUCACUUAGCAACAAGCCUGUAUUGUGUUACUAUGGCAUCAAAAAUGCAGAAAAUCUUUAACAAUUUUUUUUUGAUAUAACAUAUAUAGCAUGCCAACCUAUUUUGGCCACUUUGGACAAGACAAAUUUGACUAAUGAUUGUGAAUUUUACAUAAAAUUUGACAAAUAAAUGUGAGUUUUAGAUCUGCUGUUGAAGUAGCAUAUGAGACAUCACUGUGAUCUCCAAGGUAAAGACCUCAUUGUCCCAGUAGUCUUAGUGAAUAUAGAUGCAGAUGAUGGCAUAUUUUGGUAAAUAUUUUCCAAAACCAUACACAAGCAUUAUGAAGUAAUAUCCACAGAACUCGAGAGUUGACAUGGAAACAUGUGCAAAGAACUAAUACCUCCUGGGCCUGAGCUGGGGUAGCAACCUUUCCAGUUCCAAUUGCCCAAACUGGCUCAUAAGCCACAACCACAUUGGUCCAGUCAGAAAUCCGUUCUGUAUGAGAAAAAAUCAAUUAGACAGGGUACCUAAUAGUAAAAAAUAUUUGGUACAGAUGUUUCAUCCUACAAAAUCAGUUAGACCUACUACAUAGAAUGACACCCAAGAAUGACAGAUGACCCUAAAACUUUUUACAGUUAUUAAAGUUUAUAUCAUGAUUCCACAAGUACAAGAAGGUGCAUAGCUCAAUUGAACCAACGGGCAACAGCUUUAAUUUAUGAUAUGCAAAGCCAUAAAUACUUCUCUAGCUAUAUACAACACUAGGAUGUUUGUUGUGUACUUGAAAUCUAUUAUUAUCACAUUUUCUUCUACAUAGGAAGGGUUAAAUUGAACUACCAUUAUUAUUUAAGUCAAUGAACAUUCUAAUUCAUCCAUUGGAGAAGAACAAAAUUGUAACUCAUGAGACAUCCAAGUUAUGUAGCUAAAGCAUUUGCUUGUUGUGUCAAAUUCAAGAUUGUGAACAUCAUACAAAAUCAAAGAUGACAAAGAAGAAUUGAAUUCUUGGAAUUUAUUCCACUAAAAUAUAUUGACUGUGCUCCUAUUUGAUCGAAUGCAAUUUAGUCAGAUAAGGGCACGCUUGGGUAAAACAAUAAGAUUGCAUUAAAUUUGCCCAUAAUUCACAUUGAUACACCCAGGAUCCCAUAGUGCCAAGAGACUGCAUUAAAUUUGCCCAUAAUUCACUCAGAUAAAACUUUCCUUUUUCACACAAAAUAAAGAAAAGUAUACUUUAAAGUAACCAAAGACCUAAAACAACCACAAUAUUAACAAAUACUAGCUCAUGCUCUUCCUGGUUACAUGCAUCAGAUCUGGACACUGAUGACCACUUAAACAUGUGGCAUACCUAAAUGUUAAAUGUAACCAUCUCUUAUAUAGAGUCACAAUGUGAUUGAUACCUAAGCCAUGACCUAGCAAUAAACUUGAAACCAUACUGGAAUAUGACUGAGACACAGUUACUUAAAACUUCCCAUGCCAGCAGAAUUGAUGUAAAAACACAUGAUACAACACUUUCUUUUUACACUGGAUGUGUACACAAAACUCAGCCCACAAGUUAAAGUGACAAUAACACGAGGCAUGCAGAGUACCUGCGAUAGCUUUUGUUUGUGCAGCAACUACAUCCAUCGUGGUUCCUGACUCACGCUGCUCAAGUGUCUCACCAACACAAGCAAUCACCUUCAGGCCUUUAGACAGUGCAUAUGCAACUUUAUCUCCAACAAACUGCCCAAGAAAAUAAAAAAUGUGAAUUAGAAGGUAUUGAAUAUCUAACAAAUUUGAUGACAACUUCAGCAAAUUUCCUUGAUAGGCAUAUUAACGGGGAAGACAGCUAAAAUAUAUGAGAUAAAAUUCUAGUUGCUUGCUGGUAAAAGUGUAUGGUCAUUUUGCAUCACAAGUUGUUAACCAAAAUAUACUAGCAUAUUCUACCAAAUUACAUUGUAUACCAGAAGCUAAUACAACUUCCUUUUGUUCCUAUAAGUAUGCAUUAUAUCGUUGGCAUCCAUAGUUUAAAUAUUAUGGAGAACAAGAUCUUAUAAGUAUAAUAAUUUGAUUAGAAACUAGCAUAAAGCUUAAUCCAGCACUUAACUGAUUUCAUCGAGUGAUAAAAUGUGCAACUAAAUUUUCAUGUCGAUGCUAACUGCUGUCUUUUUUGGAACAUGCAUAACAAGAUCGGGAAAGCAAGAUAUAUGGCACUUUAGCAAGCUACUAGCUAAUUGUUAAUGCAGCACAUCUAGGAUUUGCAUAUAGCCUUUUAGCACAUAGGCAACUUACCUCAUUUGAUUCACUCAACAAAAGCCUUCGUUCAGAGUGUCCCAGAAUGACCCAUGGAAUGUCAAGGUUGACAAGCAUCUCAGCACUGCACAAGGAAAAACAAAUAUAUUCAAAUUAGGAGUGCCCAAUUGUUUUACAACAUUGUUAUAACUUAAAGAUGUGCAAGUAGGCAAUGAAAUGGCCAUUCAAAUAAAAACACCAUCAAAGUUGAAAAACCUAAAAAUAUACUACAGAAUGAACCAAAAAUAGAAACCUUAAAAAUCAAAAGUUCAUAACAUAGUAAGAAUUUGAUGAAAAAAGGCCCAUAAAAUGUGAUCCAAUGAUAAAAAUAUAAAUAAGAGAAAAAGUUGUUCUUAUUUGAACAGAGAGCAUGAACAAGUUCAAAUUCAUCUAGGGACAAAAAUCAUACCUAAUCUCACCAGUGUAAGCACCUCCUUUCUUAACCCAACAAUUUUGUGCUGCGACAUGGAAUUCAGGGCGCAACGAGCUUUUUACGAGCGGAAGAAAAACAAAUGAAGGGCUAACCACCACAUCUGCAGAGAUAAUAAUACAUAUAAUUUAAUGCGUUUACAGUGGUUGCACAUCGACAACUAGCCUAUCUAACAGUUAUAAAUAGAUACAACAUGUAAAUGACAGCAUACACAUUCUAAUUCCACAAGACAGUUUUGCAGAACAUGUGAGGAACUGGAAAAGCAACUCAGCGGAUAACACCAAUGAGUAUCAAGAACUAAAGGUUUCAAAGGCGAAGAUAUAAUUCUAUCUCUCAGUCAAAUAAAAUUGACGAUCGCUAAAUCAUCAUGAAUUUCUUGAGAAUCUAGUCUCGUUAAAACUGAAAUUUGUGAAUCAGAUGCCAGAGGGGAUGGAAUAGAAAUUAAUGUUCAGAAACCAUCUGAAUAACGCACUGACUAAGUUUCACACCAAACCAAACAAAAUUGUUGGUUACCAACCACUCAUCUAACAUCUCACUAAUCAAGCAGCAAUGACCUGGAAUCUUACCUAAGGAUCUUAGCAGUUAAUACCGACGAUAUAAAAGACAAAAAUAUAUGAGGAAACAUUGAAAGAAAAAAGAAAGCUCAAGUAGAUCUGACAAGCAAAUGCAUAGGAUUUCAUUUGUGACAAAUAGAACAAACAGUAUGUGAAUAUUUCCAAAACAUAUCCCUAAAUAUUCGAUCAAGAUCAUAGGGUUCACAACCAUACCGACAACAUCAGCCGAUGCAACUUUGCCAUCGUUCAGGAUGCUGACAAUUUUCUUGACCUCCUCGCUGGUCCCAUUCUGCGAAUACGGCCCAAAUAAAAACACAUUUAGCAUCAGAGUUCCAUGAUCUUAUAUUUUUUCCCAUAUUUAGUAGGCAAUCAAAAUCAAAGAGGACUAGAGAACAUGGAGUGGAGACAUAAAAAAGGAAACAGAGGUGUCCGAAUCCAGUAUAUCAAGAAGAUCGACUCUAAUUAGUUAAAAUUAGUGGAAACGAAUAAGAUUAAUAUGAAUCAGAGAAGAACGAGAGGAAACAGCAACAAAUCAUGCCGAUCGAUGGGAUCGGAUAACUUAAAGCUGACGAUCGAUGAAAGACGAGUAAAUCGGAGAGAUUUCCAGCAACAAGGACUGGCCAAGACCGCAAAUUUCACCAGCCAGGCUAUUAAGAUCUGCAAAAGUGGCAGUAGGGCAAAGUACCAAGCGCGAUCUAGAAAAAGGAAGAAAAGGGUAAAUGCGAGGAUUACGCAUUUCCAGUUGCCGCCGACGAAGAACUUCCUGGCCAUGUCUGAGGAGGUAGGCGACGAUGCUCAAAUCCAAAAGCCCUUUCCCUUGGCUUGGUCGAAUUAGAGGAUGCGGAGGUCUGGGCACUCAUAUAUACGGCGACUGAGACGAGAGGCGAUGGAAACAAGGGGAUGCAUUGGCACGAAUCUCGAACGUGCCAUUGGCUCCGAUGGGUGUCCGCGAUCGAUCCCGCCCGUCGAAUCAUAAGGAUCAACGAUCUGCUGUUUCCCCUUGACACAGCGAAUAGAUUUAUCAUGGAAUAGAUAUCUAGACACGUAGAUAAAGCUUCCGGGACAGGACCCACAUACGUGCCGUCGUGCACAGCUGCCGGCGAGCUGACGGUGCGAGUCCUGCGUGGUGAUUGGGUUCUCGGGACAUCGAUUACACGCCGUCGAGGGCAAUAUAAUAAGAUCCAGGCACUUGUAAUACAGGAGGAGCCCAUCGGAUCGUACAUCUGUGGGUUGGAUGAACACAGCUCUCCACGAUCAUUCUAUUAUUAUUAUUAUUAUAGCAAUAUUAUAAUUAUUAUUUAAGAUCAAGAUACAGUUAACAUUUUUAGCAACUAAGCUAGUAAACAUCUUUAAUUUCUUUUAAAAAAUAUAUUAGAUGAUACUUUGACCUUUAAUAUUUGGUAAGAAAGUAUAAUAUAUCAUCACUAUAUUAAUAUUUAAUAUAUUUAUUGUAAUAAUAUUAAUUAUUAUAAAUUUAUGUAUCGGAUAAAAUAUUAUUAUAAGAUAUAUCGAGCAUGAUAUAUCUAUAUAGCUACAAGAUACAUCGAUCCAAAAUAUAAGCAUUAAUGUAUAGGAUGAACCAUAAUUGGGCAAAGGAUUUCUUAUGACCGAUGCAACCACUUAGAGCUCGACGAAGACAAUCAAAAUGUUUUUUUACUCUUUAAGAAAAUUAGAUUGAGAAGAAAACAAACAGGAAAAAGAAUUUUUUGUAUUGGGAAAAGACAGCUACUUCACAUAACAUAAAGCACCGAAUACAACACUGCUACCGUAUCCGGAAAUCAUACAUACUUAAAGGUAAGUAUGAUCGACAUCAUCUCUAAGUCUUACGGAAGGAUACUCCCUAUUUAAGAGCAACAACGCUUCAGCAACUCACGUCUGAUAUCUGCAGUUCCCGUAACCUGCCACAGUCAAAGAAUGAUCAGCGCUGCAGGAAUCAGGAAGAACAGAGAGGGAAAGCGUGAGAUCAGAUAAAACGCAUGCGUCCACUUACUUGGGUCGGUCGAGGUGAGGACGCCGCUGCCGCCAAAGUAGCAGUUGAAGUCAUGGCGGCCGGCGGCCUGGUAGUAGGCGUUCAUGGCAUAAGAGGCGUGGGCCAAGAGCGUGUUGGGGUCGAAGCACGCGCCGCCGUUCUGUAUGGCCCCGCAAUCCGCCCCGCCGCUGCCGCACGCGUAGUCGAUGUUGUUCUGCAGCUCCGCUAGGCUCGCGUCCGCCGUUGCCACGCACCACCUCCAGGAAUCACCCGAGGGCGCCGGCGCCUGCAGAAUACCACCGUCACUCGAGUAUCGAACGGAAGCAAAACUCAUUUCUAGCAUGGCUGCCCCAACCAUGUUAUCUAGCAUGACCGUCCGACCCUUUGGUAUAGUAACUUUUUUAGAAUGACGUAUUUACCCUCAAUAUAAUACGUAUACUCCCCCAAAAAACAGUGUUUAGUGUCGAUUGGUUUGAAUCAAAUAUUUAAGAUAUCAUUAAUAACAUUAUCACCGUAAAAUUGAACGGAUGUUUAUGAUAAAUUUAAAUUUAGAAGGAUAAAUACGAAUACGUGUAUAAGUAUAAUAUACGCAAUUUUGAAGUAAAAGUAAAGAGGAGGACAGGACUCACAUUGUCGCUGUCGCGCAUAAGGCCGACGUCGUAGGACGGGGAGAGGUCGGCGUUGAAGAGCCCAAAGUGCCGCUCCGCAGUCGGCCCGGGCUUCAGGUUCUCGUUGAACAGCGCGAACACGUACGUCUCGAACCGCCGGCCCGGCAUCAUCGGCGUUCCCUUCCCAGAGUUCACCAGACGUAUCAGGUUGGCGUUGUAGGAGACCGCGUCCUCCACGCUCACACCGAGCUGGCCCGGGUCCCCGGCCGACGGCCACCCCGUCUCCCCCACGGCGAUCUCUACGUCUCCGUACCCCAGUCGCUGCAUCGCCGCUUGCACCGCGUCCAGCUGCGCCACGAACAUGUUGGUGUAGUUCACCCCCGUGGCCGGGUCGAACACCCCCGGGUUGGGGCGGAAGAGGGCGUAGUCGAGAGUGCGCGCUGUGUAGCCGAAGUAGGGGUAGGGGUUCACCACGAACGGGGUGCGCGUCCGGCGGUGGAAGUCAAGCAUCGGGGCGAAGAUGACGCGGUCGUAGCCGGGGCGGAAGCGGCCGGUGGAGGGCGGCUCGGAUGCAGAGAGGAUACCGAGGGAGUGGGGGGUGGAGACCCUGAUCUGGGGGAAGCCGGAUGCGGCAAGUGCCGCGGAGAGGGAGCGCAUAGCGGGGACGAGAUGGGCGAUGAGGUUGCGGUCGGAGGUGGCGAGAACCUCGUUUCCGACGGCGAUGAGGGAGAUGUUGGUCGCAGGGUAGAAGGGGGCGACGUUUAUGGCAACCCAGGCGGAGGCAGCAGGGGAUGGGGCAGAGGAGCGACGGGAGGCGAGGGAGGGGAUGUCCCCGUUGGGGACCGUGAUCAUGAGGGAGAUUCCGGUGCCAGCGAAGGCACGAAUGAUGUCCGGGUUGGCGUCGAAGAGCUUCACACGGUCGACGAAGGUGCGGUCCUUGAGGAAGGCGGCGACUUGAGCCGGCGGCGGGAGAUUGUCCGCGAAGGCACCGUAGUUGACGCCGACGGAGAGGGCCGCGGACAAGGAGAGAAGGUGGAGUAGGAGUAAGGGGAAAACGACGAGCUUCGCUGCUUUCGCUAGAGAAGCCAUUGCCGAGGGAUUUGGGGCUUUUGGUGGUGAAGCGAGACGGCGAAGGGGGGUGGAUUUAACGAGGGAAAAAGGUGUGCGAUGUUCCACUGACGCCUGUGGGCGCUGUCACGUGGCGACGACUUCGAAACGGGGAAUACGAACGUUAUGUUUCAAGGAGGCUGCCGCGAUCCACAUUCAAAUACGUGGACGGCUGAUUGGGGCGGUCCAAACAAUAGCUUUAUGGACUAUGAUUUAGUGUACAUAAAAGCGGGCGUUAUAAAGAUUACCAAUUCAUUUCCAACGCAAAUAAUCCACGAUGAUUGCAGAUAUUAAAUAUAUAAUCACGCAUUUGUAUAUACAUAUUUGGUAAUAAUUAGGGGUUUCUUUAAUUGGAUUAAUUAAGGUAUUAAUAGCUUAAGAAACAGGAGCAAGAGAAAGAGCUUGAUGGGCCAUAAGGAGCAUUUGGACCUAACUUUGAUGGGCUGUAGAACGGCUCGAUAGAAGCCUGUCAAAAUGUGAAGCUGACGAGAACCGUUAAACCCUAACCGGCCGACUACUCCCUCUCUCUUCCUUCUCAGCGCUCCGUGCUUGCUGGUGACGAAGGUAUGACCGCUACAGCUCGCUAAGGAUGCUGGCCCGAUUCGUUUCCCAUCGCGGCCCCUUCCGCUUCGUAGCCCUAACCACCGUAGCUUCCUCCCAUGUCCGCCGCGCCCCGUCCUCUCCCCCUCCUCUCCGGCCUCCGCCCACCUUUCUUGGUACUCUUACUCGUCUCGCUCUCCCUCCCUCCGAUCCCAAUUCCACUUUCUUUCCGUCUCUGAGGUCAUUCUCGAGCAAUCGAGGUGACGAUGACGAUGGCGACUGGAAGUUUACGCCGCAGUCCGACGAGGUCGGCUCCGUAUUCGGGGAGGAGGAGGGCGACCUUGCCGGGAUCGCUGAUGCCGCAGAGGGCGGGUCGGAGGUGGCCGCCGCCGGGGCCGACGUUAAGAGCGGGGAUCUGUGGGAAAAGGGUAUUGUGACGGAGGGUGAAGGGGAUAUUUUUUACGGCAUCGAUCGGGGGUUUGUGGCCAAGGAGGGCGGGGUAAGAGAAGGGAAUGAGGAAUGGGAGACGGCGGAGGGGUACAAGCCGUGGACGCUUGGUGACGAUGAUGAGAAAGGGGACUUGUUCGGUGUCGUCGAAGAAGGGGAGGCAGGGAUUGAGGGGAUCGAUGGCGGUGGUGUCGAGGAUUUGGAUAAGGCAAGGGCUGAUGAGCAGAAGCAGCUGGAGAAGAAAGAGGAAGAACUUUUAGCUGCUUUGAAAGGUAAGAAUCACAGAACACAUCUCAAGAAAGGAUCUUCUUGUUUAAUGUUACCCGAUUGAUGUUAAUCUCAACAGUCAAUGCUUAUGUAUGUACCCAUUUUCUGCAAGCUGAUUUGUAAUUAUCAUUGAUCUGGAAUUUUCUAUGUUGCAAUAUUUAUUGAAAAGGUUUUAGCUUGUCUCUUCAAUAAUUUGAAGCUUAUCCUAGUUGUUUGUUGUCUUGUACUGUCACCUGUGCUGAUAUAUGUUUGGGAAAGAAACUGCUUCUUUCUUUAGGUUUCUCACAAAUGACUGGUCAUGUUUAUUGUUGGUUUGAUGAUGAACUUUCUUGCUGUAUCGUCUCCCAUUCCAAUUGUUUUGGUUCUCAAAAUGUCUUGUUCCUGUAGCAAGUGGCAUGAAUGACAUAUGGCAAGUAGCAGUCUCUAUUCAACAACAACUAAUGUCAAGUUGUCUUGCUCCUACAACAUAUAAAUAUGAAAAAAGCAUGAAUAAUCUGAGACACAGGCUUUGCCAUCUUUCUAAUGUGUACACGAGAGAGAGAGAGAGAGGACUCAAAAUAUAUUUUGUGUUAAACAUCUUUGUUCUAUGGUUACAUGUAAAUCCAUUGAAGUAAGAUUAUUGAUUUAAACCUAAUACCUGUGUGAAGGAAUUGUAUGUUUAUCUCAUCACAUAAUGUUGCUUCUUAGUUUCUAUUGUUGUUGUCUUUUCACUAUUUCUUCUUGUGGAGUGAUAUAUUUCUAUUUCAUCAUGGAAUGCUGUUUCUUACCUUCUUUUGGUGUUAUUGGUGUUCUUUCUUCUUGUGAAGUAAAUAUGAUAAGAUUAUGAGAAUUAAAAUGAGAAAUAAUAUAUGUUUAUUUCAUCAUAGAACAUUGCUUCUUAGUAUCUUUUGUUGUUUUCUUUGCUCUUUCUUCUUGUGAAAUAAUGUGGCAAUGUUGUGAGAAUUAAAAUGACAUCCGAGGAAAACAUAAUCUAUCUUGUUUUUAGCUCGUUUUAGCCCUUUUUUCUUUAGAGUGGUGGAUGUUCUUGAUACUAGUUUUCUCUGAGAGAUUUUACUCUUCUGUUUUGGUGAUCGUGCUUCUUUGUCAUCUUUGUUCUUUUGGUUAUCUAGCAGAACUUUUUUGGUAGUCCAAUUUCAUAUCUUGUUAUUUUACUUCUUUCUUUUAAUUUAAAUAUCCUGAAGAUAGUACAGGAUAACUGUUAGAUAGUUGAAGAUGUUUGGGUUCUGUUGUAUUGUAUGUUGGUACUUUCAGAGUAGGACCAAUGAAUAGAUAAGAAGCUCCAUUCAUGUUAAAGAGACUCUGAUUGCUUGCAUCUUGUGUUUCUCCUUAGUACACAGCAAUGCAAACUGCUUAGGGCUCAAUGUUUAAAAUGGCAGGUCCAAAUCGGGCAUUUGGAGAUCUCAUUGCAGCAUCAGGAAUCACGGAUGAUAUGAUUGACAGUUUGAUUCUCUUGAAGGAUGUAAGCGGUGUCAAGGGUUUGCCUCCCCUGACAGAAAUUGAAGACAAAGCUAUUGCAAGAUUGAAUGAGACAUCAACAAGAGUUGAAAUUGAGCGGAAGAAACAGGAGGAAGUAGCAAAAGCUCGGGUUAGAGUGGUGGAUGAGAAGGGGAGAGCUUAUGGAACAGGAAGACGAAAAUGUAGCAUAGCUCGUGUAUGGAUUCAACCUGGUGACGGCAAGUUCAUCGUCAAUGAAAAGCAGUUCGAUGCUUACUUCUCAAUUCUUGAUCAUCGAGUACAACUUCUUCAGCCUUUCAUUGUGACAAAAACUCUUGGUCUCUGGGAUGUAAAUUGCACCGUCCAAGGGGGUGGAGUUUCUGGUAAGCUUUAUGACUACAAAAUUAUCUUUGUUUUGAGAAUUAUUGUAGAUGAACGAUCCAAUUUUAAGUAGAAAAUAACAGUGAUUUAAAAAGGUGCUUGAGCGCUCGCCUAGGUCUCGGGCAAGACGAGACGAGGCUCAAGCCCCUCGUUUAAGGGCCAGGUUGCGCGCUUCAAAGAGGCGUCGCCUGGGCGCUCGCUCCAGACUAGGCACCGGGUGCUUCGGGCAAUCGCCCGGUUUAAUUAAGCAAACCGAACCAGACUUUUAAGUCUGGUUUGGUUAAAUAAUAUAGUUUCUUACCUCAAGCCACCCUUCACUCUCGCACGACCCCGAGGAACCCUAGUGUUGCUUCUGCCUUUGUCAUCGACACUUUUUGUCGUUGCCUCCGCCACUAAUGCAAAGGACCAAACCUUCCUUUGUCGUCGACUGGCGAGUCCGACGCCCCCCGUAGCUUCCUUCCGCUGUUGCUCUGUGUGCAGUUCCUUCCACUGUCGAGGGAGUGGAUCGCAAAUUCCUUCGCCACUGACGGACACCCUCUGAAGCUUUUGUCGUUGUUGCUGUUGCUGUCCGCAGCUUUCGUUGCCGAUGUCCGUAACUUCCUCCAUUGGCGCUGUUGCUAUUCGCAACUUUCGCCGCUAUCACUGCUGUUGUCCGCAACUUCUACCGUUGUCGCUGUUGCAACAAUUUUAAACUGAUCCUCUGUUAUUGUUAACAUUUUUUUCUCCCCUCUAACUAUUGUUAAUAGUAAAUAAUAUACUGUUAACAGUAUAUUUUUAAUUUAAUAUCAUAUUUUAUUUAAAUAUUUUUUAUUAUUUUAUAUAUUUUAAUAUUUUAAUAUUUUAGAGCAUUUCGUUUUGCUCGGUGAGCGCCAAGUGCCUUAGCCAUUUUGGGACCUUGGUGCCUAGCGUUUUUUAAAUCACUGACAAGUACAUGUGUCGUAAGACAUACACAAGCAUUGUUAUAAAUUCUGUUUUUCUUAGUUGACGAACUGAAAGACAAAAAUUACCUUUGUAGAUUUAGAGAGGCUAUCUUUUCUUGUUUUUAGCUAUGGGACUGAUGCAACGAACCUCUUCGCUAUUGCAGGUCAAGUUGGUGCCAUUCGCUUGGGAAUCAGCAGAGCCUUGCAAAACUGGGAACCAGGGCUCCGGCCUUUCCUAAAAGCUGGUAAAUACUCUUACCAAAUUAGUUAUUAAGAUAUACUGUGAUAAAAUUUAACAAUCCAUUUUAAAUCCUAGCAUUGCAGUGUAACCUCAUCCUCAUUGUGCUUCUCAUGAACCCCCUCUUGGAUUUAGUAACCGACCUACCUUCAUCGCCCGUGUUUAGAUUCGAGUAGUGUGGCAUAUAGUGUGGUACUUAUUAUCCAACUGUUGACAUGGCUUGUGUGCUUCAUCUAGCUGGCUAUUUGACGCGAGACCCACGUGUAGUCGAACGGAAGAAGCCUGGAAAGGCCAAAGCCAGGAAGAGCUUUCAAUGGGUCAAGCGAUAACAGGUGUGGUUGUCAUUCCCUUUCUCACUGGAGAUACACUACCCUGUCACCAUUUAGGGGCUUACGAUGUUGAUCUGGAGAUGUAUCAUUUAUAAUGUGCAGGUUCUUGCGCAUCUUCUGCUCUCAGCUAUUUGGUAUUGCUGGCCCCUCAGUGAUGUUAUACCUCUGCUUGUUUUGUAGCCUGUAGCUCAAGAGAUCUUACUUACUACUUGCUCAUCCACUUGUGAUCAUAUAAUUAAUUUAUUUGAGCAACUGUAGGCAUCCAUCUAUCAAUCUUUUGCUUGUCAGCUUUUAUGUGGACCUUCUGUGUUUCAGAAUAAAGCGAACCAUCAAUUUUUCAAAGAGACACCAUUACUGUUCCAGAAUUGAAUUGAGGAAGGUAGUGAUGAUGUCUUGUUGUUUUUAAAGGUAACGGUGUAAAUCCUUUUAUCAAUAAUGUUUCUUUAGAAAAUUAUAAGACCUGAAAGUGAAUCAGAUUAUCAAUUUAUAUUUUACAUUGGAAAUUGUGCAAAAUGAUAUGUUGAACCUCAUUUCCCUUCUCUCCAUCUCUUCCGGUUUCUCCCAUUUGACAAACUUAUUGGGAAUAUUGAUCUGAAUUUAUUUUUAUAUCUGAGGAGUUAAUGACCUGACAAAGAUACACUUUUUGAUUUAUUUGUCGAGGAUUAAAGAUUCAAUGAUCUUUUUUGAUUUAUUUGGCAAGAAUUUAAUAAAUAAACAUUCAAAUUUUAUCAACAUUUUUUUAUACCAAAAAUAUUGAUCUUCUUGUUUAUCUGCAUAAUCAAUCCACUUCUCUAAAAUCACAAGCUCAGAACAGGAAAGCGAUAUGCAUCACAGGAAGAAAACUUGCUUCUUUUUCAAGUACUAAACGACACACAACACUCGAAACUAACAGCAGACGCACACAAACCACAGACAACAAGAUAGAAGCAAGAGAGAGAGAGAGAGAGAGAGGGAGAGGUCUGUUCUCUCUCUCAGCCAUGGUGACGAGAACAACAUCCUCCGAGGGAAGAGGGUUGAGACAGUAAGCCAUGGCCUUUUAUUUCCAUCACCAAGUCCAAACACAAGUCACUAACCCCACAACACCACCACCGAUGCUGCUCCUCUCCCUCUUCAAACUCUGAUCAUCUCCCUCAUUUGCAGUUGCAGGGAUCGCAGGUGCAGUUGGAUCCGCACUUGCAGCCAUUCUCGGACCCUUCAGCUGCCAU
Molecule: long non-coding RNA, 30094 nt
Filed under: Musa acuminata (dwarf banana)
Lineage: Eukaryota; Viridiplantae; Streptophyta; Magnoliopsida; Zingiberales; Musaceae
Description: long non-coding RNA (MACU_LNC006811)
Source: RNAcentral